Molecule: non-coding RNA, 88 nt
Organism: Gossypium raimondii (Peruvian cotton)
Lineage: Eukaryota; Viridiplantae; Streptophyta; Magnoliopsida; Malvales; Malvaceae
Source: Rfam
AGAUCUGUAAGCUCAAAACGGUAGAGCGCUCGAUACCAUUCGCAAUGAGUGGAGCGAGAGGUUGGUGGUUCGAAUCCAUCCGGAUCUA